UACGUAGGGGCAAGCGUUGUCCGGAAUCAUUGGGCGUAAAGAGCGUGUAGGCGGUCCGGUAAGUCGGCUGUGAAAGUCUAGGGCUCAACCCUGGGAUGCCGGUCGAUACUGCCGGACUAGAGUUCGGAAGAGGCGAGUGGAAUUCCCGGUGUAGCGGUGAAAUGCGCAGAUAUCGGGAGGAACACCUAUGGCGAAGGCAGCUCGCUGGGACGUUACUGACGCUGAGACGCGAAAGCGUGGGGGG
This 244-nucleotide ribosomal RNA is filed under the name uncultured bacterium. RNAcentral describes it as "partial 16S ribosomal RNA". It matches the Rfam family "Bacterial small subunit ribosomal RNA", at positions 524 to 768 of the family's 1533-position model. The record is from RNAcentral.